UACGUAGGUGGCAAGCGUUGUCCGGAAUUAUUGGGCGUAAAGCGCGCGCAGGCGGUCCUUUAAGUCUGAUGUGAAAGCCCACGGCUCAACCGUGGAGGGUCAUUGGAAACUGGGGGACUUGAGUGCAGGAGAGAAGAGUGGAAUUCCACGUGUAGCGGUGAAAUGCGUAGAGAUGUGGAGGAACACCAGUGGCGAAGGCGACUCUCUAGUACGGUACUGACGCUGAGACGCGAAAGCGUGGGGAGCGAACAGG
This 253-nucleotide ribosomal RNA is filed under the name uncultured bacterium. RNAcentral's name for it is "partial 16S ribosomal RNA". It matches the Rfam family "Bacterial small subunit ribosomal RNA", at positions 524 to 776 of the family's 1533-position model. The record is from RNAcentral.